GGGGAAACUGAGGCCCAGAGAUAGGGAGGGACCUGCCCCCGUCAGAGGAAUGAGGCCACAGUCCGUGCAGCCUCUUACAGAUGUUUGCAGCCUGCCUGGAGAGCCCGGCUGUCGGCUUGGCUUUUGGCCAUAAGGAAGCGAUAUGGCUCGGGUCAGACAGCUUCGACCCCAUGCCCACCGGGCCCGAGUCUGUUCUCUAUCACAUCUGAGGGGGUCUUCCAGAAUUGAGCCCCUGGACUCCAGGUCUCUGGUUUAUGAGAGGGUAAACUGAGGCCCAGAGGGGGCUACAACCUGCCAGGCUGUCCGGCAGCUGAGUGAGGCCAACGGCCCCCGCCCCACAGGAGACGAAGUCGCAGACGUCGGUGACACUCAGCAUCGUCCACUGCCCUCCCGUCACCACCGCCAUCAUCCACCGGCCCCACGCCCGCGAGCAGCUGGGCUUCUGCGUGGAGGACGGCAUCAUCUGCAGCCUCCUCCGUGGUGGCAUCGCCGAGCGUGGGGGCAUCCGCGUCGGCCACCGCAUCAUUGAGAUCAAUGGGCA
This 541-nucleotide long non-coding RNA is filed under the name Homo sapiens (human). RNAcentral describes it as "non-protein coding lnc-RAX2-2:1". Lineage: Eukaryota; Metazoa; Chordata; Mammalia; Primates; Hominidae. The record is from RNAcentral.